GAAGCAACAGGGAUUACCUCAGUAACGGCGAGUGAAGCGGCAACAGCUCAAUUUGAAAUCUGGCUCUUUUAGAGUCCGAGUUGUAAUUUGCAGAGGGCGCUUUGGCGUUGGCAGCGGUCCAAGUUCCUUGGAACAGGACGUCACAGAGGGUGAGAAUCCCGUACGUGGUCGCUAGCCAUCGCCGUGUAAAGCCCCUUCGACGAGUCGAGUUGUUUGGGAAUGCAGCUCUAAAUGGGAGGUAAAUUUCUUCUAAAGCUAAAUACUGGCCAGAGACCGAUAGCGCACAAGUAGAGUGAUCGAAAGAUGAAAAGCACUUUGGAAAGAGAGUCAAAUAGCACGUGAAAUUGUUGAAAGGGAAGCGCUUGCAGCCAGACUUGCCUGUAGUUGCUCAUCCGGGCUUUUGCCCGGUGCACUCUUCUGCGGGCAGGCCAGCAUCAGUUUGGGCGGUUGGAUAAAGGUCUCUGUCAUGUACCUCUCUUCGGGGAGAACUUAUAGGGGAGACGACUACGACCAGCCUGGACUGAGGUCCGCGCAUUUGCUAGGAUGCUGGCGUAAUGGCUGUAAGCGGCCCGUCUUGAAACACGGACCAAGGAGUCUAACACCUAUGCGAGUGUUUGGGUGUCAAGCCCGAGCGCGUAAUGAAAGUGAACGGAGGUGGGACCCCUUUAAGGGUGCACCAUCGACCGAUCCUGAUGUCUUCGGAUGGAUUUGAGUAAGAGCAUGGUUGUUGGGACCCGAAAGAUGGUGAACUAUGCUUGAAUAGGGUGAAGCCAGAGGAAACUCUGGUGGAGGCUCCGCAGCGGUUCUGACGUGCAAAU
Molecule: ribosomal RNA, 818 nt
Filed under: Neocamarosporium betae
Lineage: Eukaryota; Fungi; Ascomycota; Dothideomycetes; Neocamarosporiaceae
Description: partial 28S ribosomal RNA
Rfam family: Eukaryotic large subunit ribosomal RNA
Source: RNAcentral